AUUGAACGCUGGCGGCAGGCCUAACACAUGCAAGUCGAGCGGAUGAAGUUAGCUUGCUCCUGGAUUCAGCGGCGGACGGGUGAGUAAUGCCUAGGAAUCUGCCUGGUAGUGGGGGAUAACGUCCGGAAACGGGCGCCAAUACCGCAUACGUCCUGAGGGAGCAAGUGGGGGAUCUUCGGACCUCACGCUAUCAGAUGAGCCUAGGUCGGAUUAGCUAGUUGGUGGGGUAAAGGCCUACCAAGGCGACGAUCCGUAACUGGUCUGAGAGGAUGAUCAGUCACACUGGAACUGAGACACGGUCCAGACUCCUACGGGAGGCAGCAGUGGGGAAUAUUGGACAAUGGGCGAAAGCCUGAUCCAGCCAUGCCGCGUGUGUGAAGAAGGUCUUCGGAUUGUAAAGCACUUUAAGUUGGGAGGAAGGGCAGUAAGUUAAUACCUUGCUGUUUUGACGUUACCAACAGAAUAAGCACCGGCUAACUUCGUG
RNAcentral lists this ribosomal RNA (484 nucleotides) under uncultured bacterium. RNAcentral describes it as "partial 16S ribosomal RNA". It matches the Rfam family "Bacterial small subunit ribosomal RNA", at positions 30 to 507 of the family's 1533-position model. The record is from RNAcentral.